Molecule: long non-coding RNA, 578 nt
Organism: Ceratina calcarata
Lineage: Eukaryota; Metazoa; Arthropoda; Insecta; Hymenoptera; Apidae
Exons: 2
Source: RefSeq, a predicted model, not a curated record
GGUGGAGCAAACAGGCGAGCUGUCGGUGGAGCGAGCCUGGCAUCCACGUUACACGACUCGUACAUAGAUGUAAAUCAACUAAAAUGGACAUUAGCGUGUAUAAAAGUAUACGUGUUUUAUCACCGAUCAUUUCACGAGACACAAUAGAAUAUAUUUUUGCAAAUUUUCUCGCUUCGAAUGGAUUAUAAUUGUAUUAUGUAUGUCCUCAAAAUAUCUCGUAAUUUAAGCGGUUGUUCUAUUGCAUUUAUGGCAAAAUUACCAACACAUACUUUCACCAAUUUCUUUCUAAAAAAAAAUAUCUACGAUAUUGCCAGGAUCAUCUUACCGUUUGCUUUAAAUAAACUGUGACGUCAUCCUCUGCAAGCACACGCAGAUAAAGUGAAAUGUGGAUUAACAUCCUUUCAUUGAUCAUGACUUCAAGUGUAUUGCAAUUAAUGCUCAUCAUUAAAGGUUUAUUAUGCGGAAACAUCAAAUUGUAAUCAAUAUGUAUUUAUCGGUAUAUAUUUACCAAUAUAAAACUUUACCAAGACCUUAAUUUUUAAAUAAAUCAUUGUGCAGAAGUGUUCGACCAAACUGAA